RNAcentral lists this long non-coding RNA (2637 nucleotides) under Octopus vulgaris (common octopus). The record is from RNAcentral. Lineage: Eukaryota; Metazoa; Mollusca; Cephalopoda; Octopoda; Octopodidae.
UGCACACACACAUUAAAAACAAAGAAAAUGUUUUGAGAAUUCUAUUUAUGAAUAAAAGGAAGAAAAUAUAUUUUUAUCAAAAUAUGCUACCGGUUUCAAUUGUUUAAGCUAACUUAGUAAUGCUAUAAGAGAAGGGAAAAUAAAUUGAAUAAAAUAAAUAUUUCAUGAUAAUAUAUACACACACACACACACACCUUUGAUUUAUAUCUGUUAUGCCAUGGUAGUUUGGGUUAGAUGUAUAUAUUAUCGAGACAUUGUUUUACAGCUCAGUGCUCUUCUACUUACUAACAUGUACCUGCUUUUCAAGUAAAGAACUCCUUAUGUUUUUGAAGACAUGAAAGUAGCAAACGAUUUGUUUACUGCAGAAAAUGACAGCAUCAGUGAUUUCAGAGAAGCACAAAUAUCAACAAACCCACUGACACACCCUCAUAUGUGCACAUGCAUAUGUAUACACAAUGGGCUUCUUUUAGCUUCCAUCUACAAACUCCACUCACAAGACCUUGCUCAAAUUGCUACACACUUGAACUCACAAGACACUUGCUCAAAUUGCUACACAGUAGGACCAAACACAAAACCAGGUAGUUGGAAAGUAAACUUCAUAACUACACAGCCAUGCCUGAUUCAAACAUGCAAUAGCACUUAUUCAUUAAUACUCCAGACUCUGUCCUUCACAGUUCCUGUGAAGAAAGGAAACUGUAAACUUAAUCACACAGUCAUGCUUGUGCCUCAAGCUAUAAUUGUUAAGGAGGGCAUUCAGCUAUAGAAAUCAUGCCAAAAGAGACAAUGGAACCUGGUGCAGCCCCUGUCAAGCCAUCCACUUAUGCUAGCAUGGAAAAUGGCCGUUAAAUGAUGUGUAUAAAUAUAUAUGUAUAUAAUAUAUAUGCAUAAACAUUAUGGGUAUAUGAAAUAUAUAUAUAUAUAUAUAUAUAUAUAUACACACACAUAUAGGCACAGGUAUGACUGUGUAUUUAAGAAGUUUGUUUCCCAACUAUGUGAUUUUCAUUCAUUAUGUGGUACUCUCAGCAAGUGUUUUCUGCUUAGCUCCAAGCCAACCAAACCCUUGUGAAUGUGUUUGCUUGAGAGAAACUGAAAGAAAUUCAUCAUGUAUAUCUAUGUCUCUCUCAUCAUACAAGCAGUGCUUAUUUUCAAACUUACAUGGAAGCAUGUUUAGCCAUUGGAAACAGGUGAGGAUUAGCAAUAGGAAGGGCAUAUAGAUUUAAAAAAUUUGCCUCAAUGAAUUCCAUUUAACUCAUGCAAGCAUGAUAUAUGCUCAAUAUACACAGACAUACACAUGUAUAUCAUCAUCAUUGUUUCAUGUCCACUUUUCUUUGCUUACAUGGGCUAGAUAAUUUGUUCAAGUAGAUUUUCUACUUUCCUGUCACCAACCCUCACUAGUUUCUAAUGAAGGUAAUAUUUUCCUAUGGUCAGAUAUGGUAUUCAUGAAAGACUUGGAAAUGAACAUCAUUUGUAUGAUGAUAAUGCUCAUUUGCAAUCAUCAUAUGAUGCAAGAUGUGAGUAUGCACUGGCCCCACACAGAUUAUAUUUAUAUAUAUAUAUAUAAUGGGCCUCUUGCUAUAGCAGAAGAUACUUUGCACAAGGCACUGCAUCUAAGACCACAUGGUUGGGAAACAAGUUUCUUACCCAUAAUAUAUAUGUGUAUGUAUCAUUGUUUUAACAUUUGCUUUUCCAUGCAUGCUUGGGUAGGAUGGAGUUUAUUGAGGCAGAUACUCUAUGGUCAGACACUCUUCUUGCAGCCAACCCUAAUCUGUUACCAAGGAAACUAGUAUUUCCUCAUGGUCAUGUUUACACAGAGCAUUGGAAAUGCAUGACACUCCUUGUCUGACAGUGACACUCAUUUACAGUCACACAUACACAACAGGCUUCUUUCAAUUUCUGCCUACCAAAUUCACUCACCUAAGGUGCCAUGCAGUGGGACAGGACCCUAUGUGGUUGGGAAGCCUUGCUUGCACCUGCACGUAUAUACAACCACUGAAUAUAUGUAUAUAGAUGCCAAAUAUGUGCUUGUGUGUGUCUAUGUAUAUAUAUAUAUAUAUACACAUAUACACACACGUGGCAAAUGUAUAUAAAGAUUACAUACAUGCUAAAUAUAUAAAUUCUGAAUAUACAUGUGUUUAUAUAUGUAUGCGUGCAUAUAUAUAAAUUUAUAUAUACAUAUGUAUAUAUAGAUAUGUAUGCAUCUAUAUAUAUAUGUGUGUGUGUGUGUAUAUAUUUCAAUUAUUUUUUUAUAAAGCAAACCCACCCACCUGAACCCCUUCCCCCCUAACUCCACAAUACAAAUUUCUUGUAUUGAAAUGAUCUAAAUUAAAAGCUUUGUGUUAAUUUAUGUUCCAAACAAAAUCUUAAUGACAAAAGUUAUUUUACUCAAUUCUUCAUUAUUUAAAAAAUUCAAAUAAAGGCAGUGUAUUUCAACAGAAAUACAGUAAGAGGGGUUAAUCAUUGUCAUAACAGUUUCUGUGUUAAUACCAAUAAAAUCUAUAUCUGCUUAAGAAAACAGGUCAAAUGACAAAUUUUUCUUUUUGUUUUUUUCACAUUGCCAUUGUUUAAAAAUGUUUUUUUCAUAAUUUUGCUGUAAGGGAUUGAUAAUAAACCAAUAUUUUCAUGUAGAAACUUACUAAA